CCUACGGGUGGCAGCAGUGGGGAAUAUUGCGCAAUGGGCGAAAGCCUGACGCAGCGACGCCGCGUGUGGGAUGAAGGUCUUCGGAUCGUAAACCUCUGUCAGCAGGGAAGAACGGUCACUGUGCUAAUCAGCAGAGAAUUGACGGUACCUGCAAAGGAAGCACCGGCUAACUCCGUGCCAGCAGCCGCGGUAAUACGGAGGGUGCGAGCGUUAAUCGGAAUUACUGGGCGUAAAGCGUUCGUAGGCGGUAUGUCAAGUCAGUGGUGAAAUCCCCGCGCUCAACGUGGGAAAGGCCUUUGAAACUGACAAACUAGAGUGUGUGAGAGGAUAGUGGAAUUCCAGGUGUAGGAGUGAAAUGCGUAGAUAUCUGGAGGAACAUCAGUGGCGAAGGCGACUAUCUGGCACAUAACUGACGCUGAGGAGCGAAAGCGUGGGUAGCAAACAGGAUUAGAUACCCCAGUAGUC
RNAcentral lists this ribosomal RNA (465 nucleotides) under uncultured bacterium. RNAcentral's name for it is "partial 16S ribosomal RNA". It matches the Rfam family "Bacterial small subunit ribosomal RNA", at positions 338 to 795 of the family's 1533-position model. The record is from RNAcentral.